CACGAACCGUGCGAACGUUAUUCGGAAUUACUGGGCUUAAAGAGUUCGUAGGCGGCGUGUUAAGUUGGGUGUGAAAUCCCUUGGCUCAACCAAGGAAUUGCGCUCAAAACUAGCAUGCUUGAGGAAGACAGGGGUAAGCGGAACUGAUGGUGGAGCGGUGAAAUGCGUAGAUAUCAUCAGGAACACCGGUGGCGAAGGCGGAUCUCUGGGCCAUUACUGACGCUGAGGAGCGAAAGCGUGGGGAGCGAACAGG
RNAcentral lists this ribosomal RNA (253 nucleotides) under uncultured bacterium. Its description in RNAcentral is "partial 16S ribosomal RNA". It matches the Rfam family "Bacterial small subunit ribosomal RNA", at positions 524 to 776 of the family's 1533-position model. The record is from RNAcentral.